RNAcentral lists this transfer RNA (95 nucleotides) under Bifidobacterium longum subsp. suis. RNAcentral describes it as "tRNA-Ser". It matches the Rfam family "tRNA". Rfam says of the family: Transfer RNA (tRNA) molecules are approximately 80 nucleotides in length. The record is from RNAcentral. Lineage: Bacteria; Bacillati; Actinomycetota; Actinomycetes; Bifidobacteriales; Bifidobacteriaceae.
GGAUGAUUGGCAGAGUCCGGCUGAUUGCAGCGGCUCGCUAAGCCGCCGAACGCCGCAUUGACGGGGUUCCGCGAGUUCGAAUCUCGCAUCAUCCG